GGCGAGAUAGCUCAGUUGGCUAGAGCACACGGUUCAUACCCGUGGUGUCGAGGGUUC
This 57-nucleotide transfer RNA is filed under the name Ruminococcus sp. AM36-5. Its description in RNAcentral is "tRNA-Met". It matches the Rfam family "tRNA", at positions 1 to 54 of the family's 71-position model. Rfam says of the family: Transfer RNA (tRNA) molecules are approximately 80 nucleotides in length. Their secondary structure includes four short double-helical elements and three loops (D, anti-codon, and T loops). The record is from RNAcentral. Lineage: Bacteria; Bacillati; Bacillota; Clostridia; Eubacteriales; Oscillospiraceae.